RNAcentral lists this ribosomal RNA (497 nucleotides) under uncultured bacterium. RNAcentral describes it as "partial 16S ribosomal RNA". It matches the Rfam family "Bacterial small subunit ribosomal RNA", at positions 28 to 507 of the family's 1533-position model. The record is from RNAcentral.
GAUGAACGCUGGCGGCGUGCCUAAUACAUGCAAGUCGAGCGAACGGACGAGAAGCUUGCUCCUCUGACGUUAGCGGCGGACGGGUGAGUAACACGUGGAUAACCUACCUAUAAGACUGGGAUAACUUCGGGAAACCGGAGCUAAUACCGGAUGAUAUAUUGAACCGCAUGGUUCAAUAGUGAAAGACGGUCUUGCUGUCACUUAUAGAUGGAUCCGCGCUGCAUUAGCUAGUUGGUAAGGUAACGGCUUACCAAGGCAACGAUGCAUAGCCGACCUGAGAGGGUGAUCGGCCACACUGGAACUGAGACACGGUCCAGACUCCUACGGGAGGCAGCAGUAGGGAAUCUUCCGCAAUGGGCGAAAGCCUGACGGAGCAACGCCGCGUGAGUGAUGAAGGUCUUCGGAUCGUAAAACUCUGUUAUUAGGGAAGAACAUAUGUGUAAGUAACUGUGCACAUCUUGACGGUACCUAAUCAGAAAGCCACGGCUAACUACGUG